GAUGAACGCUGGCGGCGUGCCUAAUACAUGCAAGUCGAGCGAACAGACGAGGAGCUUGCUCCUCUGACGUUAGCGGCGGACGGGUGAGUAACACGUGGAUAACCUACCUAUAAGACUGGGAUAACUUCGGGAAACCGGAGCUAAUACCGGAUAAUAUAUUGAACCGCAUGGUUCAAUAGUGAAAGACGGUUUUGCUGUCACUUAUAGAUGGAUCCGCGCCGCAUUAGCUAGUUGGUAAGGUAACGGCUUACCAAGGCGACGAUGCGUAGCCGACCUGAGAGGUGGAUCGGCCACACUGGAACUGAGACACGGGCCAGAGUCCUACGGGAGGCAGCAGUAGGGAAUCUUACGCAAGGGGCGAAAGCCUGACGGAGCAACGCCGCGUGAGUGAUGAAGGUCUUCGGAUCGUAAAACUCUGUUAUGAGGGAAGAAAAAAUGUGUAAGUAACUAUGCACGUCUUGAGGGUACCUAAUCAGAAAGCCACGGCUAACUACGUG
This 497-nucleotide ribosomal RNA is filed under the name uncultured bacterium. Its description in RNAcentral is "partial 16S ribosomal RNA". It matches the Rfam family "Bacterial small subunit ribosomal RNA", at positions 28 to 507 of the family's 1533-position model. The record is from RNAcentral.